This 253-nucleotide ribosomal RNA is filed under the name uncultured bacterium. Its description in RNAcentral is "partial 16S ribosomal RNA". It matches the Rfam family "Bacterial small subunit ribosomal RNA", at positions 524 to 776 of the family's 1533-position model. The record is from RNAcentral.
UACGUAGGGUGCAAGCGUUGUCCGGAAUUAUUGGGCGUAAAGAGCUCGUAGGCGGUCUGUCACGUCGGCUGUGAAAACCCGGGGCUCAACCCCGGGCCUGCAGUCGAUACGGGCAGACUAGAGUGCGGUAGGGGAGACUGGAAUUCCUGGUGUAGCGGUGAAAUGCGCAGAUAUCAGGAGGAACACCGAUGGCGAAGGCAGAUCUCUGGGCCGUAACUGACGCUGAGGAGCGAAAGCGUGGGGAGCGAACAGG